This 403-nucleotide ribosomal RNA is filed under the name uncultured bacterium. RNAcentral's name for it is "bacterial SSU rRNA". It matches the Rfam family "Bacterial small subunit ribosomal RNA", at positions 976 to 1380 of the family's 1533-position model. The record is from RNAcentral.
AGGGCUUGACAUAUACAGGAAUAUACUAGAGAUAGUAUAGCUUUUCGGAGCUUGUAUACAGGUGGUGCAUGGUUGUCGUCAGCUCGUGUCGUGAGAUGUUGGGUUAAGUCCCGCAACGAGCGCAACCCCUGUCCUUAGUUGCCAGCACAUAAUGGUGGGAACUCUAAGGAGACUGCCGGUGAUAAAUCGGAGGAAGGUGGGGAUGACGUCAAAUCAUCAUGCCCUUUAUGUCCUGGGCUACACACGUACUACAAUGGCCGUUACAGAGAGAAACAAUACAGUGAUGUGGAGUAAAACUCUAAAAGCGGUCUCAGUUCGGAUUGAAGGCUGAAAUUCGCCUUCAUGAAGCUGGAAUUGCUAGUAAUGGCAGGUCAGCAUACUGCCGUGAAUACGUUCCCGGGCC